This 1204-nucleotide long non-coding RNA is filed under the name Dasypus novemcinctus (nine-banded armadillo). RNAcentral describes it as "lncRNA (ENSDNOG00000052893.1)". The record is from RNAcentral. Lineage: Eukaryota; Metazoa; Chordata; Mammalia; Cingulata; Dasypodidae.
CUGGUAACCUCUCUCUAUAGUAAACUCUGAUUGCAUAUUUACAAAUGCAACAACACAUGCAAAUAGCCCUAGAACUUAUGGGGUAGAAUUCAUAAACUGCAUCACAUCUAUAGUCAAUUUAAAACGGUUUUUACAUAUCAAGUAAAGGGAGUAAGCCCUGUAUUCAUCAAUUUCUAAUAAAUGCUUCUCUAAAUAUGAUAAAAUGUUCCAAAAGAAAAAUCUACCUUUACUUGAAAAUCUUCUUCUAUUUGAAAAACCAUAAAUAGAAGUAACGUUUGAUGGAGAACAAAGAGAAUCUCCGAUAAAAUGAAAACCCAGGCUUUUGUGAAGGGUCUCCCACAGGUCUGAGUGUGUGACAACACAGAUGAGAAUGGUAGUGGCACUAGACUGGCCAAUAACAAUCAGGCACAUAUAAUGUUUUGUCCAUUCUGAUUCCUGUAAAGUCUUCAUUUACUUCCAAGACAUUUCUGAAAGGAAAUGUGACGUAGGGGUGCACAGAUUCUCCUACCGAUGAAGUAAGCUUCCUUAUAAAGAGAAGAGCGUACCAUGUGCACUAUGCAAAGUACGUGAUUUCACUUGAUGUGGACAUAGUUUUAGAAAACCAUGCUUGAAACAAGGUGAACUUGGGUUAAAAUAUUAUAGAAUGCAAACCACCAAAAUUGUAAAAUGUUAGGUAGAGGAAACCUACAGCUCUCUCCAACUCUUGACUUUUCCUCUUAUACCUACUCCAUGCAGCGGCUCAGGAUCUCAGUCCAUUCUCUAUCAUCCCGCAGAAACACAUUGCUCAUUGGUACCUCAAGAAGCCAGGACGAAAGCUUUCAACAAGAUUAUUCGCUGCCUAGAAUUUAUGAAGAUCAACUGAGGGUCUCCUCCCCUCAGUACCAGGAAGGAAAGUACAAACCGUACAGCAUCUUGGGAAGCCUGGGCCACUGCCCAUCAGCACCUGGGAAGGAAGCCAGGUCACGCCAAACCAGCAUCCAGGGAAAGGAAGAAAAGGAAGAGAAGAGGGCAGGGCCAUCCACCACCAAGAAAAGUUUUGAGAGCCUUGCAGUAGCCAUCCACCUACCUCUCCCCACCACCUCCGUGCAGGGCACUGCACAACCUCACUCAGCGACAGAAAGGCACAGGUAACUGAAAAGCAAGUGCCUGCUUCCUCAAAGGUCUUCCAUUGCAGACUUGCAGAGAAAGCAAGAAUAUACAGAAU